RNAcentral lists this ribosomal RNA (497 nucleotides) under uncultured bacterium. RNAcentral's name for it is "partial 16S ribosomal RNA". It matches the Rfam family "Bacterial small subunit ribosomal RNA", at positions 28 to 507 of the family's 1533-position model. The record is from RNAcentral.
GAUGAACGCUGGCGGCGUGCCUAAUACAUGCAAGUCGAGCGAACAGACGAGGCUCUUGCUCCUCUGACGUUAGCGGCGGACGGGUGAGUAACACGUGGAUAACCUACCUAUAAGACUGGGAUAACUUCGGGAAACCGGAUCUAAUACCGGAUAAUAUAUUGAACCGCAUGGUUCAUUAGUGAAAGACGGUUUUGCUGUCACUUAUAGAUGGAUCCGCGCCGCAUUAGCUAGUUGGUAAGGUAACGGCUUACCAAGGCAACGAUGCGUAGCCGACCUGAGAGGGUGAUCGGCCACACUGGAACUGAGACACGGUCCAGACUCCUACGGGAGGCAGCAGUAGGGAAUCUUCCGCAAUGGGCGAAAGCCUGACGGAGCAACGCCGCGUGAGUGAUGAAGGUCUUCGGAUCGUAAAACUCUGUUAUUAGGGAAGAACAAAUGUGUAAGUAACUAUGCACGUCUUGACGGUACCUAAUCAGAAAGCCACGGCUAACUACGUG